UACGGAGGGUGCAAGCGUUGUUCGGAAUUACUGGGCGUAAAGCGCGCGUAGGCGGUCUGUUAUGUCAGGUGUGAAAGUCCAUGGCUCAACCAUGGAAGUGCAUUUGAAACUGACAGACUUGAGUACUGGAGGGGGUGGUGGAAUUCCCGGUGUAGAGGUGAAAUUCGUAGAUAUCGGGAGGAAUACCGGUGGCGAAGGCGACCACCUGGCCAGAUACUGACGCUGAGGUGCGAAAGCGUGGGGAGCAAACAGG
RNAcentral lists this ribosomal RNA (253 nucleotides) under uncultured bacterium. RNAcentral's name for it is "partial 16S ribosomal RNA". It matches the Rfam family "Bacterial small subunit ribosomal RNA", at positions 524 to 776 of the family's 1533-position model. The record is from RNAcentral.